GUAGAGGAAGGAGAAGUCGUAACAAGGUUUUCGUAGGUGGACCUGGCGAAAGGAUCAUUAU
RNAcentral lists this ribosomal RNA (61 nucleotides) under Caulerpa chemnitzia var. peltata. RNAcentral describes it as "Caulerpa peltata partial 18S ribosomal RNA". It matches the Rfam family "Eukaryotic small subunit ribosomal RNA", at positions 1773 to 1831 of the family's 1831-position model. The record is from RNAcentral. Lineage: Eukaryota; Viridiplantae; Chlorophyta; Ulvophyceae; Bryopsidales; Caulerpaceae.